This 429-nucleotide ribosomal RNA is filed under the name Chloroflexota bacterium. RNAcentral's name for it is "Chloroflexi bacterium partial 16S ribosomal RNA". It matches the Rfam family "Bacterial small subunit ribosomal RNA", at positions 355 to 776 of the family's 1533-position model. The record is from RNAcentral. Lineage: Bacteria; Bacillati; Chloroflexota.
UGGGGAAUAUUGCACAAUGGGCGCAAGCCUGAUGCAGCCAUGCCGCGUGUGUGAAGAAGGCCUUCGGGUUGUAAAGCACUUUCAGCGGGGAGGAAGGCGUUAAGGUUAAUAACCUUGGCGAUUGACGUUAUCCGCAGAAGAAGCACCGGCUAACUCCGUGCCAGCAGCCGCGGUAAUACGGAGGGUGCAAGCGUUAAUCGGAAUUACUGGGCGUAAAGCGCACGCAGGCGGUCUGUCAAGUCGGAUGUGAAAUCCCCGGGCUCAACCUGGGAGCUGCAUUCUAAACUAGCAGGCUAGAGUCUUGUAGAGGGUGGUAGAAUUCCAGGUGUAGCGGUGAAAUGCGUAGAGAUCGGGAGGAAUACCGGUGGCGAAGGCGGCCCCCUGGACAAAGACUGACGCUCAGGUGCGAAAGCGUGGGGAGCAAACAGG